This 66-nucleotide transfer RNA is filed under the name marine eukaryotic metagenome. It matches the Rfam family "tRNA", at positions 6 to 65 of the family's 71-position model. From Rfam's summary of the family: Transfer RNA (tRNA) molecules are approximately 80 nucleotides in length. Their secondary structure includes four short double-helical elements and three loops (D, anti-codon, and T loops). The record is from RNAcentral.
GGGAGUAGCUCAGCUGGACAGAGCAACGGUCUUCUAAACCGUAGGUCCUGGGUUCGAAUCCCAGCU